Molecule: long non-coding RNA, 234 nt
Organism: Salvelinus namaycush (lake trout)
Lineage: Eukaryota; Metazoa; Chordata; Actinopteri; Salmoniformes; Salmonidae
Exons: 3
Source: RefSeq, a predicted model, not a curated record
GGGAGAAGAGUUAGCCUGGUGGCCAACUUUGUGAAGAGACAUUUCAACCUGAGGUGUAUUGUCAAGCAGCAGUAUGGAGAGCUGCGUGUGUUUCCUGAGCGUUUUGUGGUGUGUGUGAGCCGACUGGAGGAUGCCUCAGCUAACCCGACCCCGGCCGUAACCGUGAGUCAGAGUACAGAGUCCCAGUAUUUUUCCAGGCCAGCAGCAGAAACCAGAGACGAACUGAACUCCUCC